RNAcentral lists this ribosomal RNA (292 nucleotides) under uncultured eukaryote. RNAcentral's name for it is "partial 18S ribosomal RNA". It matches the Rfam family "Eukaryotic small subunit ribosomal RNA", at positions 6 to 296 of the family's 1831-position model. The record is from RNAcentral.
GGUUGAUCCUGCCAGUAGUCAUAUGCUUGUUUCUAGAUUAAGCCAUGCAUGUCUAAGUAUAAAUGAAUAUACAGUGAAACUGCGAACGGCUCAUUCAAACAGUUAUAGGUUAUUUGAUAUUUCGGAUAAAACCAAUAUGGAUACCCGUAGUAAUUCUAGAGCUAAUACAUGCGUUACGGGGAACUUCACGGAACCCCAGUAUUAUUAGAUAUUCUUAAACCAUACAUUCCGCAAGGUCUACUGAGAUGAUUCAUGAUAACUAGUCGAAUGCCGGUUCAUACCGGCAUAUGUC